ACACGCUACAAUGGCCAAACACGAAUAGGUUGCGAAGCCGCGAGGCGGAGCCAAUCCCAAGCCAAAAACUUCCCUCAGUUCAGAUUGCAGGCUGCAACCCGCCUGCAUGAAGUUGGAGUUGCUAGUAAACGCAGGUCAGCCAUACUGCGUUGAAUACGUUCCCGGGGCCGUU
RNAcentral lists this ribosomal RNA (172 nucleotides) under uncultured Anaerolineaceae bacterium. Its description in RNAcentral is "partial 16S ribosomal RNA". It matches the Rfam family "Bacterial small subunit ribosomal RNA", at positions 1220 to 1380 of the family's 1533-position model. Lineage: Bacteria; Bacillati; Chloroflexota; Anaerolineae; Anaerolineales; Anaerolineaceae. The record is from RNAcentral.